AUUGAACGCUGGCGGCAGGCUUAACACAUGCAAGUCGAGCGAGCGGCGGACGGGUGAGUAAUGUCUGGGAAACUGCCUGAUGGAGGGGGAUAACUACUGGAAACGGUAGCUAAUACCGCAUACCAUCAGAUGUGCCCAUAUGGGAUUAGCUAGUGGGUGGGGUAAUGGCUCACCAAGGCGACGAUCCCUAGCUGGUCUGAGAGGAUGACCAGCCAAACGGGAACUGAGACACGGUCCAGACUCCUACGGGAGGCAGCAGUGGGGAAUAUUGCACAAUGGGCGCAAGCCUGAUGCAGCCAUGCCGCGUGUAUGAAGAAGGCCUUCGGGUUGUAAAGCACUUUCAGCGAGGAGGCGUUACUCGCAGAAGACGCACCGGCUAACUCCGUGCCAGCAGCCGCGGUAAUAC
RNAcentral lists this ribosomal RNA (406 nucleotides) under uncultured bacterium. RNAcentral describes it as "partial 16S ribosomal RNA". It matches the Rfam family "Bacterial small subunit ribosomal RNA", at positions 30 to 526 of the family's 1533-position model. The record is from RNAcentral.